GACGAACGCUGGCGGCGUGCUUAACACAUGCAAGUCGAGCGGUAAGGCCCUUUCGGGGGUGCACGAGCGGCGAACGGGUGAGUAACACGUGGGUGACCUGCCCUCAGCUCUGGGAUAAGCCUGGGAAACCGGGUCUAAUACUGGAUAUGACUCCAUGACGCAUGUUGUGGGGUGGAAAGCCUUGUGCGGCUGAGGAUGGGCCCGCGGCCUAUCAGCUUGNGGUGGGGUGAUGGCCUACCAAGGCGACGACGGGUAGCCGGCCUGAGAGGGCGACCGGCCACACUGGGACUGAGACACGGCCCAGACUCCUACGGGAGGCAGCAGUGGGGAAUCUUGCGCAAUGGGCGAAAGCCUGACGCAGCGACGCCGCGUGAGGGAUGACGGCCUGG
RNAcentral lists this ribosomal RNA (389 nucleotides) under uncultured bacterium. Its description in RNAcentral is "bacterial SSU rRNA". It matches the Rfam family "Bacterial small subunit ribosomal RNA", at positions 28 to 419 of the family's 1533-position model. The record is from RNAcentral.